Molecule: ribosomal RNA, 468 nt
Filed under: uncultured bacterium
Lineage: Bacteria
Description: partial 16S ribosomal RNA
Rfam family: Bacterial small subunit ribosomal RNA
Source: RNAcentral
GACGAACGCUGGCGGCGUGCUUAACACAUGCAAGUCGAACGGAAAGGCCCUGCUUUUGUGGGGUGCUCGAGUGGCGAACGGGUGAGUAACACGUGAGUAACCUGCCCUUGACUUUGGGAUAACUUCAGGAAACUGGGGCUAAUACCGGAUAGGAGCUCCUGCUGCAUGGUGGGGGUUGGAAAGUUUCGGCGGUUGGGGAUGGACUCGCGGCUUAUCAGCUUGUUGGUGGGGUAGUGGCUUACCAAGGCUUUGACGGGUAGCCGGCCUGAGAGGGUGACCGGCCACAUUGGGGCUGAGAUACGGCCCAGACUCCUACGGGAGGCAGCAGUGGGGAAUAUUGCACAAUGGGCAGAAGCCUGAUGCAGCAACGCCGCGUGCGGGAUGACGGCCUUCGGGUUGUAAACCGCUUUCGCCUGUGACGAAGCGUGAGUGACGGUAAUGGGUAAAGAAGCACCGGCUAACUACGUG